Long non-coding RNA from Acanthopagrus latus (yellowfin seabream), 514 nucleotides. RefSeq lists it as uncharacterized. The record is from RefSeq and is a predicted model, not a curated record. The transcript has 3 exons. NCBI's taxonomy places the organism in Eukaryota, Metazoa, Chordata, Actinopteri, Spariformes, Sparidae.
UACUGAGGAUAACCUCUGCUGUUUAGAGGAGCUCUGCGCCUCACUUCUCCGCCGCCGAAUGCUGAGGAGUUACAAGAGAGACGCGGUAACAACAUGAAAGCAGCAGGAAAUAGAUCAGUAAAUACACAGCAGCGCUGUUUAAAGAGUGGCUCGGAAAACACUGCGAUUGUGUUUUUCCGAAACCAGGAAAAAUAGCAGGCAAGAAGAGCCGGCGACUGCAGAGGCAGAGGCUGAAAACCUGUGCACAGAAUCUUUAUGAGGACACAUCUAGAGGGGAGUCAGUUUCUCCUCCUGUCAGAUAAGCAAGAAGACGAUGAAGCUGCAGCGGGCGCACACAACUGUGAAGGACUCAGUUCUGAGGAGUCACUCUUCAAGCAUGGCGGCGCCGUGUGAGCUGCAACCCCCGCCAAAGAUUCCAGGAGACUUGAAAUACCUUUUUUAGUCGGAAGCGUCACGGCGGAACAACAUUCCCCCCAGCUGUUUAUUGGCAACAAAAUAAACUAAAAUAACUUCA